Molecule: small nucleolar RNA, 129 nt
Organism: Tupaia belangeri (northern tree shrew)
Lineage: Eukaryota; Metazoa; Chordata; Mammalia; Scandentia; Tupaiidae
Source: Ensembl
CUAGCACUUUCACAGGUCCUCCCCGAUGCAGUGGGGCUAGGAUUUGGUAGCUGGUGCUGAGAGAAAACCCUUGACUGCGUCCAUGCCCUGGGAAUAUACCAGUGGCGCCUGUCAGUCAGAGGGACAGAG